ACGCUGGCGGCAUGCCUUACACAUGCAAGUCGAACGGCAGCGCGGGGCAACCUGGCGGCGAGUGGCGAACGGGUGAGUAAUAUAUCGGAACGUACCCUGGAGUGGGGGAUAACGUAGCGAAAGUUACGCUAAUACCGCAUACGAUCUAAGGAUGAAAGUGGGGGAUUCGCAAGAACCUCAUGCUCCUGGAGCGGCCGAUAUCUGAUUAGCUAGUUGGUGGGGUAAAGGCCUACCAAGGCAUCGAUCAGUAGCUGGUCUGAGAGGACGACCAGCCACACUGGAACUGAGACACGGUCCAGACUCCUACGGGAGGCAGCAGUGGGGAAUUUUGGACAAUGGGCGAAAGCCUGAUCCAGCAAUGCCGCGUGAGUGAAGAAGGCCUUCGGGUUGUAAAGCUCUUUUGUCAGGGAAGAAACGGUGAAAGCUAAUAUCUUUUGCUAAUGACGGUACCUGAAGAAUAAGCCACCGGCUAACUACGUGCCAGCAGCCGCGGUAAUACGUAGGGUGCAAGCGUUAAUCGGAAUUACUGGGCGUAAAGCGUGCGCAGGCGGUUUUGUAAGUCUGUCGUGAAAUCCCCGGGCUCAACCUGGGAAUUGCGAUGGAGACUGCAAGGCUAGAAUCUGGCAGAGGGGGGUAGAAUUCCACGUGUAGCAGUGAAAUGCGUAGAGAUGUGGAGGAACACCGAUGGCGAAGGCAGCCCCCUGGGUCAAGAUUGACGCUCAUGCACGAAAGCGUGGGGAGCAAACAGGAUUAGAUACCCUGGUAGUCCACGCCCUAAACGAUGUCUACUAGUUGUCGGGUUUUAAUUAACUUGGUAACGCAGCUAACGCGUGAAGUAGACCGCCUGGGGAGUACGGUCGCAAGAUUAAAACUCAAAGGAAUUGACGGGGACCCGCACAAGCGGUGGAUGAUGUGGAUUAAUUCGAUGCAACGCGAAAAACCUUACCUACCCUUGACAUGUACGGAAGCCACGAGAGAUCGAGGUGUGCUCGAAAGAGAGCCGUAACACAGGUGCUGCAUGGCUGUCGUCAGCUCGUGUCGUGAGAUGUUGGGUUAAGUCCCGCAACGAGCGCAACCCUUGUCAUUAGUUGCUACGAAAGAGCACUCUAAUGAGACUGCCGGUGACAAACCGGAGGAAGGUGGGGAUGACGUCAAGUCCUCAUGGCCCUUAUGGGUAGGGCUUCACACGUCAUACAAUGGUACAUACAGAGGGCCGCCAACCCGCGAGGGGGAGCUAAUCCCAGAAAGUGUAUCGUAGUCCGGAUUGUAGUCUGCAACUCGACUACAUGAAGUUGGAAUCGCUAGUAAUCGCGGAUCAGCAUGUCGCGGUGAAUACGUUCCCGGGUCUUGUACACACCGCCCGUCACACCAUGGGAGCGGGUUUUACCAGAAGUAGGUAGCUUAACCGCAAGGGGGGCGCUUACCACGGUAGGAUUCGUGACUGGGGUG
RNAcentral lists this ribosomal RNA (1449 nucleotides) under Oxalobacteraceae bacterium VUG-A99a. Its description in RNAcentral is "bacterial SSU rRNA". It matches the Rfam family "Bacterial small subunit ribosomal RNA". Lineage: Bacteria; Pseudomonadati; Pseudomonadota; Betaproteobacteria; Burkholderiales; Oxalobacteraceae. The record is from RNAcentral.